AUUGCCUGGGGAUUUUGGUUAAAUGUGGGUCCUGAUUCAGUGGGCCUAGGGCACUUGGAGAUUCUGCAUUUCUAACCAGUUCUCAG
RNAcentral lists this microRNA precursor (86 nucleotides) under Procavia capensis (Cape rock hyrax). RNAcentral describes it as "miRNA (ENSPCAG00000020216.1)". The record is from RNAcentral. Lineage: Eukaryota; Metazoa; Chordata; Mammalia; Hyracoidea; Procaviidae.